GCCAGGUGUGUUGGCUCACGCCUGUCAUCCCAGUGAUUUGGGAGGCUGAGACAGGAGGAUUGCAAGUUCAAAGCCAACUUAGUGAGGCCCUGUGCAACUUAGUGAAAGUCUGUCUCAA
RNAcentral lists this small RNA (118 nucleotides) under Marmota monax (woodchuck). The record is from RNAcentral. Lineage: Eukaryota; Metazoa; Chordata; Mammalia; Rodentia; Sciuridae.